RNAcentral lists this ribosomal RNA (499 nucleotides) under uncultured bacterium. RNAcentral describes it as "bacterial SSU rRNA". It matches the Rfam family "Bacterial small subunit ribosomal RNA", at positions 15 to 518 of the family's 1533-position model. The record is from RNAcentral.
GAUCAUGGCUCAGGACAACGCUGGCGGCGUGCUUAACACAUGCAAGUCGAACGGGGAUAAGCCGGAAGAUUCGGUGGAAGGCUAUCGAGUGGCGGACGGGUGAGUAACGCGUGAGCAAUCUGUCCCAGACAGGGGAAUAACACUUGGAAACAGGUGCUAAUACCGCAUAAGACCACGAGUGGACAUCCACAAGGGGUAAAAGGAGGAAUCCGGUUUGGGGUGAGCUCGCGUCCGAUUAGAUAGUUGGUGAGGUAACGGCCCACCAAGUCGACGAUCGGUAGCCGGACUGAGAGGUUGACCGGCCACAUUGGAACUGAGAGACGGUCCAAACUCCUACGGGAGGCAGCAGUGGGGAAUAUUGGGCAAUGGGCGCAAGCCCUGACCCAGCAACGCCGCGUGAGUGAAGAAGGCCUUCGGGUUGUAAAGCUCUGUUAUAGGGGACGAAGGAAGUGACGGUACCCUAUAAGGAAGCCCCGGCUAACUACGUGCCAGCAGCUGC